UUUCCGUAGGUGAACCUGCGGAAGGAUCAUUAUUGUAUCGCCGAGGUGCGAGGGCUGUCGCUGACCCGAAAGGUCGUGCACGCCCGAGUGCCCUCACACACAUCCAUCUCACCCCUAUGUGCACCACCGCGUGGGUCCCCCUUUGGCUUGUUCGGAGGGGGGCUUACGUUUUCACACAAACUUUGUAUGCAGUGUAGAAUGUAUUUUUUGUUUUUGCGAUCACGCAAUCAAUACAACUUUCAACAACGGAUCUCUUGGCUCUC
Molecule: unclassified non-coding RNA, 263 nt
Filed under: plant metagenome
Description: partial contains small subunit ribosomal RNA, internal transcribed spacer 1, and 5.8S ribosomal RNA
Source: RNAcentral